RNAcentral lists this ribosomal RNA (467 nucleotides) under uncultured bacterium. RNAcentral's name for it is "partial 16S ribosomal RNA". It matches the Rfam family "Bacterial small subunit ribosomal RNA", at positions 28 to 507 of the family's 1533-position model. The record is from RNAcentral.
GACGAACGCUGCGGCGUGCCUAACACAUUCAAAUUCAACGGAAAGGCCCUGCCUUUGUUGGGUUCCCGGGUGGCGAACGGGUGAGUAAACAGUGAGUAACCUGCCCCUGACUUUUGGUUUACUUUAAGGAACUGGGGCUUAUACCCGAAAGGAAGCCCCUCUUCAUGGUGGGGGGUGGGAAGUUUCGGCGGUUGGGGAUGGACUCGCGGCUUAUCAGCUUGUUUGUGGGGUAGUGGCUUACCAAGGCUUUGACGGGUAGCCGGCCUGAGAGGGUGACCGGCCACAUUGGGACUGAGAGACGGCCCAGACUCCUACGGGAGGCAGCAGUGGGGAAUAUUGCACAAUGGGCGGAAGCCUGAUGCAGCAACGCCGCGUGCGGGAUGACGGCCUUCGGGUUGUAAACCGCUUUCGCCUGUGACGAAGCGUGAGUGACGGUAAUGGGUAAAGAAGCACCGGCUAACUACGUG